RNAcentral lists this long non-coding RNA (267 nucleotides) under Capra hircus (goat). Its description in RNAcentral is "lncRNA (ENSCHIG00000002148.1)". The record is from RNAcentral. Lineage: Eukaryota; Metazoa; Chordata; Mammalia; Artiodactyla; Bovidae.
GGCAACUGAAUCUCGUUCUCUGAAGCUUCUUCUGGUGGUAGGAUGGCACUAGCUUCCUCUCUUCUGUUAGAAGAUAACGUCAGCUCUUGGCAUCUGCCAGUGAAGGCGCACAGCAUAGUGAUUCAGGAGUUUUCCAGAUUAUACUCCAUUAAAAGCUAUUGCAAGGUAAUGACUACCUUUCACUGGGCUGUACAAUGUAUCCUGGUUGUUUUCUGCAUUCAUUGUUGUUUGCAUCUCUUAACCCCAUACCCCUAAUUUGCCCCUCCC